Molecule: ribosomal RNA, 445 nt
Filed under: uncultured bacterium
Lineage: Bacteria
Description: SSU rRNA
Rfam family: Bacterial small subunit ribosomal RNA
Source: RNAcentral
AGAACGAACGCUGGCGGCAUGCCUAACACAUGCAAGUCGAACGAGAUCUUCGGAUCUAGUGGCGCACGGGUGCGUAACGCGUGGGAAUCUGCCUUUCGGUACGGAAUAACUCAUGGAAACGUGUGCUAAUACCGUAUGAUGUCGCGAGACCAAAGAUUUAUCGCCGAGAGAUGAGCCCGCGUAGGAUUAGCUAGUUGGUGGGGUAAAGGCCUACCAAGGCGACGAUCCUUAGCUGGUCUGAGAGGAUGAUCAGCCACACUGGGACUGAGACACGGCCCAGACUCCUACGGGAGACAGCAGUGGGGAAUAUUGGACAAUGGGCGCAAGCCUGAUCCAGCAAUGCCGCGUGAGUGAUGAAGGCCUUAGGGUUGUAAAGCUCUUUUACCCGGGAAGAUAAUGACUGUACCGGGAGAAUAAGCCCGGCUAACUCCGUGCCAGCAGCCGC